UACGUAGGGGGCUAGCGUUGUCCGGAAUCAUUGGGCGUAAAGAGCGUGUAGGCGGUCCGGUAAGUCCGCUGUGAAAGUCGGGGGCUCAACCCUCGAAUGCCGGUGGAUACUGUCGGGCUAGAGUGCGGAAGAGGCGAGUGGAAUUCCUGGUGUAGCGGUGAAAUGCGCAGAUAUCAGGAGGAACACCGAUGGCGAAGGCAGGUCUCUGGGCCACUACUGACGCUGAGAAGCGAAAGCAUGGGGAGCGAACAGG
Molecule: ribosomal RNA, 253 nt
Filed under: uncultured bacterium
Lineage: Bacteria
Description: partial 16S ribosomal RNA
Rfam family: Bacterial small subunit ribosomal RNA
Source: RNAcentral